CCGGUGUUUGAAUAGGGUCUGUAGUAGAUGACUUAAGCUGCUGCUGUUCUUCUGGGUGAUUAAUUUCAAUCAAGGUGAAGCUUUCACAAGGACUUGUGCAAAUACUACUUUAGUGUAAUGCAGUCAGUUAUUAGUUAAGUAGCAUUUUUGGCUUUAAUUUUUUUCGGGCCUUUUAAUGUACAAGACCACCUCAGUCGAUGUGAAGCAGUAUACCGGUUCAGAUGUAUUUCAAUUGGCCUAGAACAAAGGAAUUAAAACUACGAGCACAGUUUGGCUGAACGCGUCACCACUGCAUUUUCUGAAGAUUUAUCUUCUGGUCUCAGCUACGGGUCGAUUCUGUAGUAGAUAGUUUACUUAUUUUCCUAUCCAUCUCUUGGUGGACUCUACUGUCCGUCCUUUGGUGGACCCCAGAAGAAUAAACAUGACGUGCCUUAAAGGCGUUGCUGUUCAAACGCUUGGCAUUAUCAAGAAAUUUAAUGGCGGUGCUUCUAAUGAUAAGCAUAUUAAUUCAACGACUUACUUUUUCAAAGCAAUCGGAGGAGGAGUAAACUUGCUUCGCCGGCUACAAAAGCAGAUUUCUCCGCCCAAAGCGGUUGGAGUUAUUUUGGGAGAAGAGACAGAAACAAACAUUGUGCUAAGCCAACCUUCACAGGUGAAGCAUAAACAUCUGGCAACAUAACAGAGAAAAGAUUGAUACCAACUACAGUUUGUCAAUGCUCAUCUAGUUUGGCUGUUUAAGG
Macrobrachium nipponense is the source of this 740-nucleotide long non-coding RNA. RefSeq lists it as uncharacterized. NCBI's taxonomy places the organism in Eukaryota, Metazoa, Arthropoda, Malacostraca, Decapoda, Palaemonidae. The record is from RefSeq and is a predicted model, not a curated record. The transcript has 4 exons.